Molecule: long non-coding RNA, 820 nt
Filed under: Homo sapiens (human)
Lineage: Eukaryota; Metazoa; Chordata; Mammalia; Primates; Hominidae
Description: HSALNT0367225
Source: RNAcentral
CUCACUCUCUCUUUGCCUGCUGCCAUCCAUGUUAAGAUAUGACUUGCUCCUCGUCUUCCGCCAUUAUUGUGAGGCCUCCCCAGCCAUGUGAAACUGAGGAAGAGGCAGAGCAAGACGGCUCAAUAGAAGCCUCCACUAAUUGUCCUCCCCACUGGAACACCAAAUUGAACAACUAUCCACACAAAGAAGCACCUUCGUAAGAACCAAAAAUCAGACAGUAUUUCUGGACCUGCCCUGGGCCAGAGGGGAGCCCGCUUCCCUGAAGGAACAGACUCAGAACUGCCAACAUCACCAAAAGCUGACAGAAGAACCCUUGGGCCUUGAGUGAACAUCGAUGGUGCCAGACAGAAAGUCAUCUCUCUGCUCAACUGAGACAAAUGCAGAUUCAUUGAGCCAGACUAAGGCAUAAGUGACUAUUCCUCUAUGUUCCCCAACAUGUAAAUUGUGGAUUCAGUGAAAGGCUGAUUGAAGAGUCAGAAGAAUGUAACUUUUUGUCUCUUAUCUACCUGGAACCACACCUUAUCUACCUGGAACUGUCCCCUCCCCGCCCCCCCAAUCCCGCCCUGUUUUGAGUUGUCCUGCCUUUCUGGACCAAAUCAAUGCACAUCUUACACAUAUUGAUUGAUGUCUCAUAUCUCCCUAAAAUGUGUAAAAGUGAGCUGUACCCUGACCACCUUGAGCACAUGUUGCCAGGACACAGCCUCCUGAGGGUACAUCUUUAACCUUGGCAAAAUAAACUUUCUAAAUUGAUUAAGGCCUGUCUCAGACACUUUGAGUUGACAAUACACAAAAACUAAAAAGGAAGAAAUUAAAAGAUACC